AUAGUACCGAAGUUCCUGAUUCCACGCUGCCAAGAAAAGCCUCUAGUGAGAUGUAAGGUGCCCGUACCGCAAACCGACACAGGUAGGCGAGGAGAGAAUCCUAAGGUGUGCGAGAGAACUCUCGUUAAGGAACUCGGCAAAAUGACCCCGUAACUUCGGGAGAAGGGGUGCUUUUUAGGGUGAAUAGCACGGAAAAGCCGCAGUGAAUAGGCCCAGGCGACUGUUUAGCAAAAACACAGGUCUCUGCGAAGCCGCAAGGCGAAGUAUAGGGGCUGACACCUGCCCGGUGCUGGAAGGUUAAGGGGAGAGGUUAGCGCAAGCGAAGCUUUGAACCGAAGCCCCAGUAAACGGCGGCCGUAACUAUAACGGUCCUAAGGUAGCGAAAUUCCUUGUCGGGUAAGUUCCGACCCGCACGAAAGGUGUAACGAUCUGGGCACUGUCUCAACGAGAGACUCGGUGAAAUUAUAGUACCUGUGAAGAUGCAGGUUACCCGCGACAGGACGGAAAGACCCCGUGGAGCUUUACUGCAGCCU
Molecule: ribosomal RNA, 533 nt
Filed under: Bacillus sp. mrc49
Lineage: Bacteria; Bacillati; Bacillota; Bacilli; Caryophanales; Bacillaceae
Description: bacterial LSU rRNA
Rfam family: Bacterial large subunit ribosomal RNA
Source: RNAcentral